Acanthosepion pharaonis is the source of this 87-nucleotide non-coding RNA. The record is from the annotation of a GenBank genome assembly. Lineage: Eukaryota; Metazoa; Mollusca; Cephalopoda; Sepiida; Sepiidae.
GUUCUCGUGCGAUCCCCGAAGUUAAGCAAAGUCGAGUCUGUUCAGUACCUAGAUGGGUGACCGCUUGGGAAUACCAGGUGCUGUAAG